RNAcentral lists this long non-coding RNA (3105 nucleotides) under Homo sapiens (human). Its description in RNAcentral is "HSALNT0405604". Lineage: Eukaryota; Metazoa; Chordata; Mammalia; Primates; Hominidae. The record is from RNAcentral.
AGCCUUCAGUAGCUGGUAGUGGAAGGAGGAGCUCUGACUACACUCUCACGACUGUUUUUUGCCUCUUGGUUCUUGUUAUGUCCCUUUCUUUUUGAAAUAAGACAGAAGGUCCCCACCUUCAUAGACAUAGAGAGAUCCCAUCUUAUUUGUUUUUAAAAAUAAAUUGAAAAGUGAGGCGGAGCCUUGUGAGGAUGAUGGGAGAGGGCUUCCAGAGAGGAAUUUCUUCUUUGGAAUUCCUGAAAUGGGAACAAACUUGUUUUGGGAAAAGGACAGAAAGACACAAAGGUGGCUGCAGCAGAGUGAAAUGAAUAUGAUGGGCUAAGGCCUCGUACACGUAGUGAGCAUUGACAAAGAAUAUGGACUUUAGUUGAGAUGGGAAACCACUGGAGGAUUACAGCCUGGGGAUUACUGUUAAUUCUCCAAGAAGAAGACUGACCAGCGGCUGUGUGAGAAUGUCCUGUAAUGCAGGCAAGGGUGGAAGCAGGGAGACCAGCUAGGAGGCUGGUGGCGAAGUGCAGGUUUGGACGCCCGCUCCAAGCGCUGGUUAAAAAUAAUAUGGAGACGGCACGGGAUUUGGCCUCUAGAAAAUAUAGGUCCCAUUGAAGAUGUGCAGGCGUCUGCACACGGCGGUGUGGAGGAGAAUAUGACAUCAGAUAUUGUAAGAUGUAUUUCUUUCUCUGGAAGAGAAAUGCUUUUUGUUUUUUCUGGGGCUUCUAGAAUAUCAAGUGAGUAUCAUUUUUGACUGCCAUCAUGAUUCAGGCCUCAGUGUCAUGGACUCUAGCGACCGGUCACUGGAGGUUAUGACCAGCUGAGGCCUGAUUGAAAAUGGCAGUCAAAGGACGGCAUCACUUACAAACUGUUUGGUAGUGAGUGUAUUUCUCAGUAGCAACCUUUUCUCCUUGAAAAAUAAUUUUGUAUUUGCCAGCCAACAUAGACUUGCUAAAUAUUCCAAAAAACCCACUGCAUGUUCCACAAGCAUCCUCUAUGCUUUAUUUGGGGGCCAGUGACUUGAUCACUGUUUCACAUCCGGUUUUUUAUUUCACCAAGUGAAUAAAGGCCUUUGCCAACAGAACCCAGCAUGAUCUGAUCCUCAUGGUGUUUUUUUUUUCUCUUAUUGCAGAGAAAGUCGAAAGCCCAGCGUCAAGUCUGUACAUAUACUUUUUUUUUUAAACAGCUUUAUUUAGACAUAGUUGACAUGCAAAACAACUCACCCAUUUAAAAUUUGGUCGAAGAUCUCAGUGAAUACCCAUCUGUCCAUCUUGAAGACCUCAUGACACCGGAGAUGGCAAAGGAGAGACGCGAAGAUUACCUCUGCUGGGUUAACAUGGCACAAUCUCGGCUCAAUGAACCCAUCAGCUCCCAGGUUUGAGGACUUCUCCGGCUUCCGCAUCCCGAGUAGCUGGGAUUACGGACGCCUGCCACCACACCCAGCUCAAAUCAUUUUAUGAAUGCAUAUUUCCAUCUGGGUGAAAAAAAAAUCACAAGCCUCUCUCUCUUCCUACUGAGCACCUGUGAACAGUGACCUGCAGUUUGUGGCUGCAGCCAGUCCUCAUGGAGCCUGCUGUUCUUACAUUUCAUUCUGAGGCUCACAUUCUCAGUCACCAUGCAGAAGAACACCCGCCCCAUCCUGGGUCAUUACAGAGUGGGCCAAUCCAUCUGCUGCAUCUGAGGAGCUGGGUCCAGCUUCUACGGUGAAUCCAUAUAUUUCUGUAUUUCCUGGAUAAGGAAGAGGAAAGGAGCUGAGCUGGUGGAGGAAGAAGAUCUAAUAUUAACUGACUCCUUAUUUUGUACCAGCAAAGCAGUUGCCGCUACAGACUGAAUGCAUUUGGGCCAUCCGUGGGUUAGUGGGUUCACGGAAUUCACAUCAAAUCAGAAUCAAAACCAAAACCAAAGUGCAGAUAAAGGCACGCCCGUUCGUCAAGCAGUUUAAACCAAGUGAAAAUCAAAACCAAAACCAAAACCAAAGUGCUGAUAAAGGCACGCUGUGGGUGAUCAGGCCAUGCUUCCACUCAAAUGGAGUGGACAAGUUCCCAAGACCGGUCCUGUCAAGCAGCUCAAACCAAGUCAAAAUCAAAACCAAAACCAAAGUGCUGAUAAAGGCACGCCCGUUUGCCUAGGAAUUCAAACCAAGUCAAAAUCAAAACCAAAACCAAAGUGCCGAUAAAGGCAUGCCGUGGGUGAUCAGGCCACGCUUCCACUCAAAUGGAGUGGGCAAGUUCCCAAGACCAGUCCUACCGUAUUCCAGAUAUCUGGACUCCAAGCGCCAGUUCCUUCCCGGUGUUCAGCCACUGCACUGAUCCUCUGCGGGGGCCUGCCAUGCACUGCUCUGACGAGGCAUUGCACCGGGGCAAAUGCCUACCCAGGAGCAUGCUCAGGAACCGCGUAGCUCAAGCUGGCCGGAGUCCCCUGCAGGGAUGCUCCACAGGGCAAGCCUAAGCUGCCUAAGAGGCUGCCUCGCUUCCCGGUCAGGGAACCAAGAAAUGUAGCAGGAUGAGCCACAGACAAAACUCCUCAGACACCGGGUUAAACAAGGAAGAGGCUUUAUUCGGCCGGGAAAUCGGCAGACUUGCGUCUCAAGAACAGAACUAAGCUCCCCGAAGAAAGAGUUCCUGGCCCUUUUAAGGGCUUACAACUCUAAGGGGUCCAGGUGACAGGGUCGUGAUAGACUGAGCAAGCAUGGGGUACGUGACUAGGUGGGGGUAAGCAAGUCAAGGACGUGUCAACAUAGAGACUUAGGAGGACAAAGUGAACUUCCUGAUCCCCAACAGGCAGAUCCCCAAAAGCCAAAAUGUAUGUGUCACCUUGGAAGAUGACGCACCAGGAAGAAUGGGGAGGAGGGAGGAGGAAAAACUGCUGAUGAGGCCGACUCGCUCUUUGGGGCUUAUCAUAUCAGCAAAGCCAGCUCUUUUGAGAUGGAAGAACAAAGAUGUUUCUCCUCUGUGAGGAGGUGACAGUGGUGUUCUGGGUGAAGGAGAGCAGCUUUGUCCUGGAAGGAAUCUGACUUGGAAGGAGGCCCAGUUGUCCAGCAGUGGAUAUGACGUCAGAUAUUGACACAGCCAACAAUCGACUCAUCAUUUCUGAAGACCUGUGGAGUGUCCAUUGUGG